CAAAGUCUUCUAUCAGCAUCCAAACUUGAUGCGUGUGCUGGGGAUGCAUGAGACGGUGAUGGAGGUCAUGGUGAACGUGCUGGGAGGUGACAAGUCUCAGGCAGCAGAAAUUGCCAAAGAGCAAGAGGACGACCUGAAGGCCGAAUCCGAGAAGGCUGACAUGGAAGACGGCGAGAAAAAGAACAAAGCUAAGGCAGAUGAAGAGUCUGAAUUCCUUGAAAGC
Spea bombifrons (plains spadefoot toad) is the source of this 223-nucleotide long non-coding RNA. RefSeq lists it as uncharacterized. NCBI's taxonomy places the organism in Eukaryota, Metazoa, Chordata, Amphibia, Anura, Pelobatidae. The record is from RefSeq and is a predicted model, not a curated record. The transcript has 3 exons.